This 923-nucleotide ribosomal RNA is filed under the name uncultured bacterium. RNAcentral's name for it is "bacterial SSU rRNA". It matches the Rfam family "Bacterial small subunit ribosomal RNA", at positions 66 to 985 of the family's 1533-position model. The record is from RNAcentral.
ACGGCAGCACGGGUGCUUGCACCUGGUGGCGAGUGGCGAACGGGUGANUNAUAUAUCGGAACGUACCUUAUUGUGGGGGAUAACGCAGCGAAAGCUGUGCUAAUACCGCAUAAUCCCUUAGGGGGAAAGCGGGGGACCGUAAGGCCUCGCGCAAUUAGAGCGGCCGAUACCUGAUUAGCUAGUUGGUGAGGUAAAGGCUCACCAAGGCAACGAUCAGUAGCUGGUCUGAGAGGACGAUCAGCCACACUGGGACUGAGACACGGCCCAGACUCCUGCGGGAGGCAGCAGUGGGGAAUUUUGGACAAUGGGGGCAACCCUGAUCCAGCAAUGCCGCGUGAGUGAAGAAGGCCUUCGGGUUGUAAAGCUCUUUUGUCAGGGAAGAAACAGCAGCUCUAACACAGUCUGCGAAUGACGGUACCUGAAGAAUAAGCACCGGCUAACUACGUGCCAGCAGCCGCGGUAAUACGUAGGGUGCAAGCGUUAAUCGGAAUUACUGGGCGUAAAGCGUGCGCAGGCGGUUAUGUAAGACAGGCGUGAAAUCCCCGGGCUUAACCUGGGAAUUGCGCUUGUGACUGCAUAGCUAGAGUAUGUCAGAGGGGGGUAGAAUUCCACGUGUAGCAGUGAAAUGCGUAGAGAUGUGGAGGAAUACCAAUGGCGAAGGCAGCCCCCUGGGAUAAUACUGACGCUCAUGCACGAAAGCGUGGGGAGCAAACAGGAUUAGAUACCCUGGUAGUCCACGCCCUAAACGAUGCUGACUAGUUGUUCGGGAAUUUAUUCCUGAGUAACGUAGCUAACGCGUGAAGUCAGCCGCCUGGGGAGUACGGUCGCAAGAUUAAAACUCAAAGGAAUUGACGGGGACCGCACAAGCGGUGGAUGAUGUGGAUUANUUCGAUGCAACGCGAAAAANCUUACCUACCCUUGAC